GACGAACGCUGGCGGCGUGCUUAACACAUGCAAGUCGAACGGUAAGGCCCUUUCGGGGGUACACGAGUGGCGAACGGGUGAGUAACACGUGGGUGAUCAGCCCUGCACUUUGGGAUAAGCCUGGGAAACUGGGUCUAAUACCGGAUAGGACUACGCGAUGCAUGUCGUGUGGUGGAAAGCUUUUGCGGUGUGGGCUGGGCCCGGGGGCUAUCGGCUUGUUGGUGGGGUGAUGGCCUACCAAGGCGCCGACGGGUAGCCGGCCUGAGAGGUUGUACGGACACACUGCUCCUGCGAUACGGACCAGACUCCUACGGUAGGCAGCGGUGGGGAACAUUGCACAAUGGGCGCAAGCCUGAUGCAGCGACGCCGCGUUGGUAAUGACGGCCUUCGGGUUGUGAACCCCUUUCAGCAAAGACGAAGCGUAAGUGACGGUAUGUGCAGAAGAAGCACCGGCCAACUACGUG
Molecule: ribosomal RNA, 464 nt
Filed under: uncultured bacterium
Lineage: Bacteria
Description: partial 16S ribosomal RNA
Rfam family: Bacterial small subunit ribosomal RNA
Source: RNAcentral